CAAUGGCGGUAACAGAGUGAGGCGACCCCGCGAGGGUGAGCGAAGCNCAAAAAAGCCGUCCCAGUUCGGAUUGUAGUCUGCAACCCGACUACAUGAAGCUGGAAUCGCUAGUAAUCGCAGGUCGGCAUACUGCGGUGAAUACGUUCCCGGGUCUUGUACACACCGCCCGUCAAGCCAUGGAAGCCGGGGGUGCCUGAAGUGCGCUGCCGCAAGGAGCGUCCUAGGGUAAAACCGGUGACUGGGGCUAAGUCGUAACAAGGUAGC
Molecule: ribosomal RNA, 264 nt
Filed under: uncultured bacterium
Lineage: Bacteria
Description: partial 16S ribosomal RNA
Rfam family: Bacterial small subunit ribosomal RNA
Source: RNAcentral